RNAcentral lists this long non-coding RNA (256 nucleotides) under Brassica napus (rape). Its description in RNAcentral is "long non-coding RNA (BNAP_LNC009867)". The record is from RNAcentral. Lineage: Eukaryota; Viridiplantae; Streptophyta; Magnoliopsida; Brassicales; Brassicaceae.
UACAUAAAAUAAUGGUACGUCGGUUGGUCAAAGGCGGUGGUAAGUAAAUGGAUAAUCAUCUUCUGCGAUAUCUUUUAACACUCCUCGUUGAUUAUCCAUUUUCUAUUACGUAGUGCCUCGUUAAAAAUCUAAUCACGGAAAAACUCUGUGGGAUAAAAACCGUGAAGAGGGAAAAAGAGUACACUGCCGUAAUCUCCUCCUGAGAAUAGUGGACUUAGCUUUUUCCUUACAGAUCACGCAAAUGCCGCAUUCUGAU